GAUCCUGGCUCAGGACGAACGCUGGCGGCGUGCUUAACACACGCAAGUCGAACGGACGAGCACCCUUCGGGGUGUAAGUUAGCGGCGGACGGGUGAGUAACGCGUGAGUAACCUGCCUUGGAGUGGGGGAUAACACAGGGAAACUUGUGCUAAUACCGCAUAAGAUCAUAGGGUGGCAUCAUCUAGUGAUCAAAGAUUUAUUGCUCCAAGAUGGGCUCGCGUCCGAUUAGAUAGUUGGUGAGGUAAAGG
This 249-nucleotide ribosomal RNA is filed under the name uncultured bacterium. Its description in RNAcentral is "partial 16S ribosomal RNA". It matches the Rfam family "Bacterial small subunit ribosomal RNA", at positions 15 to 263 of the family's 1533-position model. The record is from RNAcentral.